Molecule: ribosomal RNA, 205 nt
Filed under: uncultured bacterium
Lineage: Bacteria
Description: partial 16S ribosomal RNA
Rfam family: Bacterial small subunit ribosomal RNA
Source: RNAcentral
UCAGUUCGGAUCGGAGUCUGCAACCCGACUCCGUGAAGCUGGAUUCGCUAGUAAUCGCGCAUCAGCCAUGGCGCGGUGAAUACGUUCCCGGGCCUUGUACACACCGCCCGUCAAGCCAUGGGAGCCGGGGGUGCUUGAAGUGCGUCGCCGCAAGGCGCGCCCUAGAGCAAAACCGGUGACUGGGGCUAAGUCGUAACAAGGUAUC